Long non-coding RNA from Hylaeus volcanicus, 1000 nucleotides. RefSeq lists it as uncharacterized. NCBI's taxonomy places the organism in Eukaryota, Metazoa, Arthropoda, Insecta, Hymenoptera, Colletidae. The transcript is spliced from 3 exons. The record is from RefSeq and is a predicted model, not a curated record.
UCGCUGUCGUGAACCUUCACGGAAAGAUAAUAACGUGUGACAGGUAGAGAAAUUUUCUGGAGUCGUUUUACGCUCGUCGCGAUCGCUGUACCAAAAUGUUUCAGCAAACUACGCUUUUUCUCGCGCUAUCCUGGGCUGCGCUCUGCCUAGCGACAAAAUUUCAGGAAGGUCACCAUGAAAUCACAUCGAAAGCGGGCAUAAGGAAAACGACGUUCUCCGAAUCGGAAAUUCUUUUAUCUGUAACAGCAUGUGUGGCUGGGGUCGUGCUAAUUGUUCUCAUUCCAACGAUCGUUUACAAUAAAUGCUUCAACAAGGAGGUGGAAAUCGAGAAGUACUAGAUACUAUACAACCGAUCAGAAUCACCAGGAUGUCGCGUCGAUCGGAACAGCUGCACGAAAUAAUCGUCGCCUGAUCAAUCAUCGAUCCGUGCAAACAAUCCUGAAACAAUACACAUUCAUGACUGAUCACAUAUCCAAGUUUUCGUGGAAUUGAUCCCGCGGGAUUUAACGUUAAAUUCAGCGUAACGAGCGGGGCGAAUGCGACCCGGCCGCGAUUAUCAAUUUCAUCGGGAGUCUCGUAUGCAAAACACAACGAUCGAUGUCGUUACACAAAACUUUCCGUCCUCGUUACGCGUUCAUCGUAAACUGACGCCCCACACGUGCGUCCGUGAGAAGAUACUAACCGUAAAAUCGGUGAUAAUAAACACAGCGGGGCUGUGAUCAACUGAGAUUUUACGACUCUCGAACAAUGAACGCGGACAUCGAGUCGACAUAUCGCUUUAUUAGUACUUCACACGUCUAUUAUUAUUGGUAUGAAUUUGAGGGAUUGUUUACUUAUUCGACAUAAAAGUAAAAGUUUCUUUGGUAGAUCCUAUCUAGAGGCACUCUGAUCUACGAAGCAUCUGUCACUGUGAAUCGUCCCAUUGUUAUUAUUUAUCAAAAUAGCCCAAGUACGAUCAACUAUUGCCAGUCAUUAAUUUCAAGCGACUGCAUCGCAAAUA